RNAcentral lists this ribosomal RNA (760 nucleotides) under Carabus komiyai. RNAcentral's name for it is "partial 16S ribosomal RNA". The stretch from base 1 to 535 matches the Rfam family "Bacterial large subunit ribosomal RNA", at positions 1929 to 2925 of the family's 2925-position model. Lineage: Eukaryota; Metazoa; Arthropoda; Insecta; Coleoptera; Carabidae. The record is from RNAcentral.
GGCCGCAGUAUUUUGACUGUGCAAAGGUAGCAUAAUCAUUAGUUUUUUAAUUAAAAGCUUGUAUGAAAGGCUGGACGAGGUAGAAUCUGUCUCUAUUUAAAUUAUAGUAGAAUUUAAUUUUUAAGUUAAAAAGCUUAAAUAUUAUUAAAAGACGAGAAGACCCUAUAGAUCUUUAUAAUUUAUUAAAUGAAAUUAAUUUAGAAUUAUUUAUUUUUUAUUUUAAUAAAUUAUUUUAUUGGGGUAAUAGAAAGAUUAAGUUAAUUCUUUUUUGUAAUAAACAUUGAUUUAUGAAUAUUAAAUGAUCCAGUUUUAUUGAUUAUAAGAUUAAGUUACCUUAGGGAUAACAGCGUAAUUUUUUUAGAGAGUUCAUAUCGAUAAAAAAGUUUGCGACCUCGAUGUUGGAUUAAAGAUUAUUUUAGGUGUAGAAGCUUAAUAAUUUUGGUCUGUUCGACCAUUGAAUCUUUACAUGAUCUGAGUUCAGACCGGCGUAAGCCAGGUCGGUUUCUAUCUUUAAUAAAAUAAAAUAUUUUAGUACGAAAGGACCAAGUAUUUAAUAUAUUUAUAUUUAAUUUAUUGAAUAUUAUUAAAGUUAUAAUUAUUUUGGCAGAUUAGUGCAAUGAAUUUAGAAUUCAUUUAUGUAAUUUAUUUACAAAUAAUACUUGUUUUAUAUAGAUAUUGUUUUUUCUUUAGUAUGUAUAUUAUUAUUAAUUGUUUGUGUUUUAGUGGGGGUUGCUUUUUUAACUUUAUUGGAACGAAAGGU